AACGAACGCUGGCGGCAGGCCUAAUACAUGCAAGUCGAACGCACCGCAAGGUGAGUGGCAGACGGGUGAGUAACGCGUGGGAACCUUCCCUGUGGUACGGAAUAACUCCGGGAAACCGGUGCUAAUACCGUAUACGCCCUUUGGGGGAAAGAUUUAUCGCCAUAGGAUGGGCCCGCGUCGGAUUAGCUAGUUGGUGGGGUAAUGGCCUACCAAGGCUACGAUCCGUAGCUGGUCUGAGAGGAUGAUCAGCCACACUGGGACUGAGACACGGCCCAGACUCCUACGGGAGGCAGCAGUAGGGAAUAUUGGACAAUGGGCGAAAGCCUGAUCCAGCCAUGCCGCGUGAGUGAAGAAGGCCUUAGGGUUGUAAAGCUCUUUUGGCGGGGAAGAUAAUGACGGUACCCGCAGAAUAAGCUCCGGCUAACUUCGUGCCAGCCGCCGCCGUAACAC
RNAcentral lists this ribosomal RNA (450 nucleotides) under uncultured bacterium. RNAcentral describes it as "bacterial SSU rRNA". It matches the Rfam family "Bacterial small subunit ribosomal RNA", at positions 29 to 526 of the family's 1533-position model. The record is from RNAcentral.